CACGUAGGGGGCGAGCGUUGUCCGGAUUUAUUGGGCGUAAAGAGCUCGUAGGCGGCUCAGUAAGUCAGGUGUGAAAACUCCAGGCUCAACCUGGAGACGCCACCUGAUACUGCUGUGGCUAGAGUCCGGUAGGGGAGCAUGGAAUUCCUGGUGUAGCGGUGAAAUGCGCAGAUAUCAGGAAGAACACCGGUGGCGAAGGCGGCCCACUGGUCCGGUACUGACGCUGAGGAGCGAAAGCGUGGGGAGCGAACAGG
Molecule: ribosomal RNA, 254 nt
Filed under: uncultured bacterium
Lineage: Bacteria
Description: partial 16S ribosomal RNA
Rfam family: Bacterial small subunit ribosomal RNA
Source: RNAcentral